RNAcentral lists this transfer RNA (75 nucleotides) under Gallicola sp. Its description in RNAcentral is "tRNA-Lys". It matches the Rfam family "tRNA". Rfam says of the family: Transfer RNA (tRNA) molecules are approximately 80 nucleotides in length. Lineage: Bacteria; Bacillati; Bacillota; Tissierellia; Tissierellales; Peptoniphilaceae. The record is from RNAcentral. RNAcentral also lists the same sequence under 2 other names.
GACCCAUUAGCUCAGAUGUAGAGCACCUGACUCUUAAUCAGGAGGUCCCAUGCUCAAAGCGUGGAUGGGUCACCA